This 534-nucleotide ribosomal RNA is filed under the name uncultured bacterium. RNAcentral describes it as "bacterial SSU rRNA". It matches the Rfam family "Bacterial small subunit ribosomal RNA", at positions 276 to 807 of the family's 1533-position model. The record is from RNAcentral.
ACGAUGGAUAGGGGUUCUGAGAGGAAGGUCCCCCACACUGGUACUGAGACACGGACCAGACUCCUACGGGAGGCAGCAGUGAGGAAUAUUGGUCAAUGGGCGAGAGCCUGAACCAGCCAAGUCGCGUGAAGGAUGAAGGAUCUAUGGUUUGUAAACUUCUUUUAUAUGGGAAUAAAGUGAGGAACGUGUUCCUUUUUGUAUGUACCAUAUGAAUAAGCAUCGGCUAACUCCGUGCCAGCAGCCGCGGUAAUACGGAGGAUGCGAGCGUUAUCCGGAUUUAUUGGGUUUAAAGGGUGCGUAGGUGGUUAAUUAAGUCAGCGGUGAAAGUUUGUGGCUCAACCAUAAAAUUGCCGUUGAAACUGGUUGACUUGAGUAUAUUUGAGGUAGGCGGAAUGCGUGGUGUAGCGGUGAAAUGCAUAGAUAUCACGCAGAACUCCGAUUGCGAAGGCAGCUUACUAAACUAUAACUGACACUGAAGCACGAAAGCGUGGGGAUCAAACAGGAUUAGAUACCCUGGUAGUCCACGCAGUAAAC